GUGAGUAAUGCUUGGGAACUUGCCUUUGCGAGGGGGAUAACAGUUGGAAACGACUGCUAAUACCGCAUAAUGUCUACGGACCAAACGGGGCUUAGGCUCCGGCGCAAAGAGAGGCCCAAGUGAGAUUAGCUAGUUGGUGAGGUAAAGGUUCACCAAGGCGACGAUCUCUAGCUGUUCUGAGAGGAAGAUCAGCCACACUGGGACUGAGACACGGCCCAGACUCCUACGGGAGGCAGCAGUGGGGAAUAUUGCACAAUGGGGGAAACCCUGAUGCAGCCAUGCCGCGUGUGUGAAGAAGGCCUUCGGGUUGUAAAGCACUUUCAGUUGUGAGGAAAAGUUAGUAGUUAAUACCUGCUAGCCGUGACGUUAACAACAGAAGAAGCACCGGCUAACUCCGUGCCAGCAGCCGCGGUAAUACGGAGGGUGCGAGCGUUAAUCGGAAUUACUGGGCGUAAAGCGCACGCAGGCGGUUUGUUAAGCUAGAUGUGAAAGCCCCGGGCUCAACCUGGGAUGGUCAUUUAGAACUGGCAGACUAGAGUCUUGGAGAGGG
Molecule: ribosomal RNA, 550 nt
Filed under: uncultured bacterium
Lineage: Bacteria
Description: bacterial SSU rRNA
Rfam family: Bacterial small subunit ribosomal RNA
Source: RNAcentral